This 159-nucleotide unclassified non-coding RNA is filed under the name uncultured Helotiales. Its description in RNAcentral is "sequence contains ITS1". The record is from RNAcentral. Lineage: Eukaryota; Fungi; Ascomycota; Leotiomycetes; Helotiales.
CAGUGUUCGCUGCCCUCACGGGUAGCAAACCUCACCCUUGUGUAUUAUAUCUUUGUUGCUUUGGCACGCCGCCUUCGGGCACUGGCUUCGGCUGGCUCGCGCGCGCCAGAGGACCCCAACUCUGUGUUUAGUGUCGUCUGAGUACUAUAUAAUAAGUUA